This is a long non-coding RNA of Ictalurus punctatus (channel catfish), 887 nucleotides long. NCBI's taxonomy places the organism in Eukaryota, Metazoa, Chordata, Actinopteri, Siluriformes, Ictaluridae. The record is from Ensembl.
GUUUGUGUGUGUGUGUGUGUGUGUGUGUGUGUGUGUGUGUGUGUGUUAUGUACGUGUGUGUUUUUUAGGGAGGGUGCUUCUGUUUCCUCAGGAUAACACAUCAGCAUCUGGUAGCAAAUGAAGUGCCGGUGGCCGACAUUCCAUCAGACCUGUCUGGCAUCUCUGAAGAAGAAACGCACACACACACACCCCCCACACACACACACACACACUCGACGCUUCUGUGGACCCUCACACAUGGGAAUGGCACAGCAGUGAAGCGCUUGUCCACUGGAGCUGAAGGACGGUCCCACUGCCAUUUUGUUUCCUAGUGUCGAACCCUUCCGGAACCAUCAUGCCCAUCCUGAAGAAGCUCCCUGGGAGGUCCCGGAGUAACCUCAGCAACGGUGACGUGAUGCUCAAGAAUAACCAUGGCAAUAGCGAAACAACGCUACAGAGUAACCCCGGCAACGGCGAACUCAUACUUCCGCCAUCCAGCCUCAACCCCUUCGACGACGUGGACCUAGACAUAGGUUGGAACGAGGAAGAAGGCGGGGUAUGGGAGAGAGGGCGGGGCCUGACGAGGUCUUCACAUGAUGGGGAGGCACUGGAGAAUGAGCUGAAUGCAGAGCUGCAUGGAGGGUUGAAGGUCACAGACAGGUCGAAGGGUAGCUCUCCUCUGAGAGGGACCCUGGAGCGCAUAUGUGGGCUCGUCACCGCUGAAGACGUUGGGAAAACUGAGCAAGGGGCUGCGCCUGACUGGACGAAACGUGUGGAGCAACACCCUGCCGGCCACGCCCACUACCGGGAAGGAGAAGAAGAAGAAGAAGAAUCAUAGGAGACCAUCCGAGGAGAUCAUGACCUUGCUGAGGUCAGUGAAUUAUUCAUAUAUCAAAAAACCGAGAUCA